Molecule: small RNA, 469 nt
Filed under: Histoplasma capsulatum var. duboisii H88
Lineage: Eukaryota; Fungi; Ascomycota; Eurotiomycetes; Onygenales; Ajellomycetaceae
Description: Histoplasma capsulatum H88 hypothetical RNA
Source: RNAcentral
AAGUAUCUUCUGGCUAGGAAACCACAUCCUUUCACCAAAGGAUUUAGCUCUUCUAUGGUUCAACAUGAAAUUAUGUUAAUUCUAUUGACAUCUUUUCUACCUCCAAACAAUAAUUCUAGCCCCAGGCAUUAUGACUUCCUCCAACGAAAAAAAAAAAAAAAAAAAAAAAAACCCCGAAGUAUCAAUGUAAUAAUAAAUAUCCAACAAGCCCAAUCGCAAUGUCUCCAUCCAAAUACGAACAAGGAAAAAAAAUCAAAUUAAAUCAAAUCAAAAUAAAAUAAGAGAUAUAAACCAUAACGACCAACAUCAUCUAGAAAUCACGGAAUUCUCGAUCCACCUCCUCAAAAUAAUCAAAGAAUCCCUUAAACAACUGGACACCAAGUCCAGGAUCCAUGUUCCCCGUCGUUGCACGGAUGCUAUGCAUACUCAGUUGAGGAAUACCAGCAUCGAUCGCCCUUAUUCCAAUCCG